This 498-nucleotide ribosomal RNA is filed under the name uncultured bacterium. RNAcentral's name for it is "partial 16S ribosomal RNA". It matches the Rfam family "Bacterial small subunit ribosomal RNA", at positions 29 to 523 of the family's 1533-position model. The record is from RNAcentral.
AUUGAACGCUGGCGGCAUGCCUUACACAUGCAAGUCGAACGGUAACGCGGGGCAACCUGGCGACGAGUGGCGAACGGGUGAGUAAUGUAUCGGAACGUGCCCAGUUGUGGGGGAUAACUGCUCGAAAGAGCAGCUAAUACCGCAUACAACCUGAGGGUGAAAGCGGGGGAUCGCAAGACCUCGCGCAAUUGGAGCGGCCGAUAUCUGAUUAGGUAGUUGGUGGGGUAAAGGCUCACCAAGCCGACGAUCUGUAGCUGGUCUGAGAGGACGACCAGCCACACUGGGACUGAGACACGGCCCAGACGCCUACGGGAGGCAGCAGUGGGGAAUUUUGGACAAUGGACGCAAGUCUGAUCCAGCCAUGCCGCGUGCGGGAAGAAGGCCUUCGGGUUGUAAACCGCUUUUGUCAGGGAAGAAAAGGCUCCUUCUAAUAUAGGGGGCUCAUGACGGUACCUGAAGAAUAAGCACCGGCUAACUACGUGCCAGCAGCCGCCGCAG